This 13546-nucleotide long non-coding RNA is filed under the name Amborella trichopoda. Its description in RNAcentral is "long non-coding RNA (ATRI_LNC002850)". Lineage: Eukaryota; Viridiplantae; Streptophyta; Magnoliopsida; Amborellales; Amborellaceae. The record is from RNAcentral.
GGGGAGAGCCAUACCUCGCCAGCAAUGGCACGGGAAGAUCACUUGGCCAAAGCUGCUCAUAGAAAGGUGUUCUACCAAAAAGAACCCUGAUUUAGCUGGCUCCUACACCAUCUUGUCCCUGCCAUGGUGAGGACGGAAAUUUGGAUUUAGGGGUUAAAGCAGGAUUAUCAGGUCUCGGAUUUCAUCAUUGGAUACCAUUCUAAACCUCGGAUCAAACAACAUGGACAACCUUGGUCAGCUGCCACUGAGAAGAUGAUAGAAAGCUUGAAGCAAAGUAAAUACGUUUAGUAAGAAUAUAAUGGUUUCUCUCAGCCUCCAGAUUCAAUUCAUCUUAGAACAGUAGAAACUAUAAUAUUCAUCUUGAAAAGUUUAGGCAGUAUGCUAUGAUACAACUUGUAUCCAUUCAAAGCACAAAAGAACUCAUCAAAAGACAACAUACCUGAUGGUCUCUGUGAAAUGAUGGAAUAUCAUAUACAAAGGUGAAAGAAUUUCUUUUGCAAUGAGCUCCAACUGCUGAGGCAUGACUCCCUUUUAAGAUGUGGGUUCAUGAAGUACUGCAAUCAUCCAUAAUCCAUUAGCUAUGGUCCCUUACCUUUCAUAGCAAUUUGUUGAAAGGCUUCACCAUCAAGUUAGUUUUCAUACUAUAACCAGGUCAGUAAUGGCAGAAUGCUUUUUCCAUGGGUCGCAUUGGUCCACCCUCAAAUUGCUCUUGCAUGUUGAAAGUUCAUUAAACAAUUGUGUUGUAAUAGUGCUAGAGCGACCAGUGCUCAAGGGACCUUGCAGGGGCCUUGAGUUCCAUACAUAAUCACUAUUAAACUAAUGAAGGCUAUUUUCAAUGGGAGCUCAUUUGGUUUUCUAACACAUUUAACAUGAUAAGCAGACAAUAUUUAGCAUUACAGGUAUAGAUGUAUUUAUUGAAUACUUUCAGUUUACAUACCCCUUGCGCAUCUAAUGUCUAACUUAACUAUUCCAGUUGAUGAUUUGGACUUGAGUAAUGUGUAGACUUUUAGGGGGUGUUUCUUACCUGGCAAUUGGGAAACAUUUAUGUGGGCAAAUUCAGUUUGUCACCCAAUAAUUAACUAGGGAAUGUAUGUGAAGAUAACUUUGUCAGCAUUACUGGCUUCGGUAAUUCACUGCAUUCUUACUUAAAUUGUGCUUGCAGACUUUACCUUAAGGUGCUGCCUCACUCAGCAACAUAAUGGAGCAGGAGACAAUUACAGCCUGAGAGGUGUUGCCUUUGCAACAUGCUGUCAUCAUCUUUGCCAAUGGAAAUCUUACAUGAGUAAUGCCCUAUUCUUUAGUAUACAAAUACCUUUGAUCCUUUACAAUCUGGUUCUUGUAUCUGUUGUAUAUAUCAUGUGAAAGAUACACACAUAGAGAAUUAGCAUUCUAUGAAUCAUAGGAUCAUUGCUCACACAAGCACAUGCAUGGACAUGUAAUAUGGAAAUAUCUGAAUGUUCAUUUAGAGCACUAUUAAAUUAUACAUAAUUGAUUGUGCACAGUUCACAGUUAAUGUGAAAUAUGCAUAGUUCAUAGUUCAUGUGAAUCGAUCCAGAAUUUUAAGUUCCCUGUAGGAAUGAAUUGCUUCAUUUCAUGGCUGGUUUUUCCUUCUUUUUUUUUUAUAUUUUUUUUUAUAGAUUCAUUUAUUUCUUGCAUUAUUUUGUGAAGAUAGUUCAUUUAGGAACCCUGUUCUUUUGGGCAAUUGGCUGGAAUAUAUAACAAAAAGGAUAUGUGUUUAGGAUAUGUGUUUUGGGAGUCAAUCUUCGUCCAGCUGCUAGCUGUACCCAUUUGCUUUCAGAGAAAAUUAGUGACCAUCAAAUAAGAAUCAUGACCAGUUUUUGGAAGAAGCUUCUUCAAAGUGUUACUUUCUUCAUUGUUCUGAUAUAGAUGUAGGAUUUCUAUACAAUAUGGGGAUAUUCAAAGAAGGUUUCCAUGCAAUUACAUGGUUCACCAGCUGGGCAGUAGAUGCAGACCGCCAAUUUGAUUUCUCAGAAGCAAUUGAUCAGAGCUUACUUGUAAAAGCAUGGUAAUUUAUUACUCUUUCUUCGUGAAAAUGAGUUUAAAUUUCCAAUUUGCUGCUUUAUAUUAUCGAAAAACUCUUGGUUGCCCCUUGUACUUUUAGAAAAUGACUAGGUGCCCUGCUUUCUUUCGAUGGGUUUGAAACAGCUAAAUAUCCUGUGAGAGCAUAGUUCCUAAUUUGAAAACUAGUUGUUGCAUGGUUUUUGAAAUACAACAGUCACAAUUUCCUGUUAGAAUAGGAUACCUAAUACUAGCACUGCUACACUCCUAGAUUUUCUAUCUUGUUUUGCAUAAUCAAAUAAUGGCACUUGGCUAACAUGUUAAUUGCGGAUUCUGAAGAACAUCAUUGCAAGAGUGUUGCUUCUCUCUGUUUCAUGAAGUGGCUAUAGUUCUUAUUGUAAGCAAUGAGAUCUUCACAAAACCAUUUGUAAGAUGGUCAAUAUAGGUCUAUGCUUUCUUCCAAAUAAAUUAGUUUCCCUCAACAAAUAUUUCUGUUUCUUGAAAAAUAUCAAGGUGCUCUUCCAUUUAUUUUAAGAAAUAAGAAAGUUCCAUCAUCUAUGUUACAAGGAUAUGGGUACGAGUGUCAGUGCCAUACACCAAUAUACAUGUCAGAAACGCAACUUAGCCCCUUCUAGAUACAACACAUUCAUCCAUAUAUUGGAGGGGUCGGGAGGUGGGACUUUAAGUAAUUAAAGUAUCUUAGUUUCUAUAGUGUUAGACAUGUGUGUCACAUUCUUAGUGUCUACAUGAGCCCAAAACCUUGGAUGCUCAUCCAAGUCUUGUAGCCCAUCAUUUAUUUAGAAUGUUGGUGUUUACAUUAUUUUUGAUAAUGAUUUUUAUAUCUUUUCUCCUGUUCUUUUUUUGUUUUGGCAGUAAUGAUGGCGGACAGCAAGGAGUUGAAAGCUUGUGAGAAAUAUGAAACCUGUAGAGAGAGAGCAAAGUUAGGGCUCAUGUGUAAAGAUAUUAUGGAUAUUGGGAGGCUUAAGUGGACUAAAAUAUGCCCCUUAUAACAUAUUGCCUGAGAAUCACUUAGUUGUUGCAAAGCCUACUAAACAGUCUAUACAUUCGGACCUUCCCUAAAUGUUUAUUGAACUUCAGUCGCAUUUAUAGUUAAUUAACAAUUAAAUUUUCAUUUGCAUGAUGAAAGUGCAAAAUAUAUUCACCUUUGUUUAUUCGAAUUAUAUCCACCUUUUACGUUCCCAUGCAAGGGUGUCCUCUCUCUCACACACACACUGAUUUGGCUUAGCAAAGUGGUUAGUUAUUGCUAGGUAGCAAUGCGAUAUCCUAAGUCCUAGUUUCAUUUAUCUUUUAUCUUAUAUCAAAUAUCCCAGGUUUCAAUCUUUUCUUUUCACAUUUUUGCCCCCAUUAUUUCAAAUCCCAUGCUUUCAAAGUAUUGUUUUUAUAUUUAUAUACAUUUGGAAUACUUUAAAAAAAAACAAACAUAGACUGUCCAACAUUUUAGGAACAGAUCUGAAGCGGACACUUGUUACAGUGUGGGUAGCCAUGUUUUUCUUAUUAUUCUAUAUAAUUUGGAAUGGAAGCUGUCAUGGAACUGUUGGAAAUCUACUAAGACCGUACAAAAACAAUUUUAAACACCCCCUCCAAAACCCGAUGUUAAAAAACAAACAUAGACUGUCCAACAUUGGAAUACUUUUUUAAAAAAACAAACGUAGACUGUCCAACAUUUUAGGAACAUAUCUAAAGCGGACACUUGUUACAGUGUGGGUAGCCAUGUUUUCCUUAUUAUUCUUUCAUAUAUAAUUUGGAUAGAAGCUGCCAUGGAACUGUUGGAAUUCUACUAAGAGCCUACAAAAACAAUUUUAAACACCCCCUCCAAAACCCGAUGUUAAAUUACCAAAUCAAUAGAAGGAUUCAAAAACAAAUCUAAAAACCACAUCAAAUUCUGAUAUGAUAAAUCAACAAAACAACCAGAAGUGUUAUACUUUAAAAAAAAAAAAAUUGUAGAGCAAACAAGAUUGUAAACAAUGUCCAAGUCUAGCUCCACUACGGUUAAUUGCUUACACAAAACAAUGGAGCAAACAAGAUUGUAAACAAUGUAUAUUUUCUUAUAAGUCAGUUAUAACACCAUCCUAGAGGCCAAAGAUAAAACUAGAAUCACAAAAGACAAAAAGCAUUAUUGAAAAACAAGCUCAGGUUGGAAAAGAGAACCAAAUAGCCUUAAGUUUUGCCAAAGCUGCCAAAUCUCCAAGUAUACAUUGAUACAUAUUGGUGAAUAUUUGUUACCAACAUAUAUGUUUGUUGACAGCAGCUAGAUAUCAUGAUUGACCAACUCAUUUGGUUCUAUCAAAAUAUGCAUAUGAGGAUUUUGAUAAAUAACAUACAAAUUAAUAAUUGCAUUGGUUUUUGUCAUUCAUUUUUUAUCAAAUGAUUAAUAAGGCCAUUGCAAGCGUUUCAAAAGCUCCCCAACCACAACCUAACCUUUCCUCCCACCCAACCUGCAGCAUUCCCCAACCUUACCAUCCACAACCUAGCCUUUUGGUUCGCUACCCCUGCAGCGUCACUGUCCAUUCCUUCUCCUCCACCAAAAAGAAAAAAGCAUCUCUCUAUUCCCACAGACCGCCCGUCCAUGCAUUUUAGACCUCACCAAAUGAAUGUCAAAUCAUGGUGAUCCAAGCAAGCAAUACCUCGCUCCAUGACUAGGCUUGAAAUUUAUCAAGCAACCAUGCGGUCAACUCCACUAUCACUACCUACCCUCCUCUUUAUUCUUGACCACAGUCCCUUCCUCCUGUUCCCUAAUUCAGAAGACAUUUUGUUCCCCACGUAAGUUAGAGUUCGAGAGAAAAAUAUGAUUAACAUGCUAUAAAACAAUAUAAUUGAAUGUGCAUUACCAGGGUUUAAUUAACUUAAAAUCAAUCUGGUCAAUGUCACAAUCAAUAUUGAAAUUGCCCGUUAGAAAUAUUAAGUCAUAUCACAGAACAGAAAAAGUGACAUAAUUGACUUGGAAUGGUUUGAUAGUAGCUUGAAGAAUAGUGAGGCUGUUUAGGGUCUUCCACUACAUAGAUGCAUCUCUCCUGAAAAGAUUGCUGGUUUGAAUAUCAAACCUCAAUUCAGGUACAAGUUCAAUAAAAUUGAGCUCCAAACAGAAAUGAAUUUCACAAAUAAUGCAAGAAAUAAUGAAAUUUGAACAUAAAGUACAAUCCCUACAAAAGGGCAUCUUAGACAAAAAUGCGACACAAUAUCUUCUCCAGUUCAAUAAGUACCUCUAGAAUGAAAAUUCACGCACUUGUGCAGCUUUUAGAGUCCAGCUAGAUGCCAAUCCCACAAAACGUUUCACCAACUUUGUCAAUGUGAUUGCUACAAUAAAAAGUUCGUAAGUCCUAACAGUUACCCAUAAGUAUCAGGAAAUCAAUCCUUGUGGCUUUCAGUUUAGAAGUCAUAUACAUCACUCUUCAAAAGAGAUGGUAAAAACCAUUGCCCAAUUCAACACCCAAAAUGUCAAGGUUUUAGUUGAAAUAAAGAAAAUAUACGAGAACCUUCACAAUCAAAUAUAUCUAAAGAAUGGGCAUGUGUUUAAACCAAGACAUAAGUACAUUAUUGCCUAAACCAGUUGCUAAACUCGAGGCUCUCAAGGGGUUUACAUUCAUUUCCUUAUAAACCACGGAAAAAAUUAAAGUUCCCAUCAUUUACAAUCCACAUUUUCCUAUCUGAACUGAUACAGUUGCAGCUAACAUUUCCUAUUUUCUCAAAGACUUGGUAGUGGCUUGUUCAUUGCUUUUCAUUGGCUUGCGAGUGCCUCUUUUACAAUUGUUUUCUCACAAGGCAAUACAUCACUUGCUUAAUAAAAGCAUUGAAACCAAUUGUCCAUAAGUAACUACUCUUCUAAUUGGUUUUUCUAGAUCAAAUUUUUUUAAAAAAAUAUAAGUUUUGACCUUUGCGAGUCAAAAGGAUAUAAUGGCCAACAACAUCAACCAACAAUUAAAUCCUUGUAUUGCAGACAAAAUUUAAAUUUUGUUUUUGGUAAUUGAAGUAAAAAACGUUACUUACAAUUUCAACAGAUUUCCAUACAUACUAUACUGAGACCUUUGUUAAGCACUUCUGAAGCACCUUCCUUUAUACAUAUAUACUAGAAUGAAUCAUCCUAUUAGUGAUUUUAGAAAUUACUCCAAAAUUUUUGACAAUAGGUUGCCCUUAUAUUAGUUAAAACUACCUUGAUGUUUCCUUUUUUAUCGAGUGAAGGACUUGAGGGUAAUUAUGAAUGAAUACAAACUCUUAAAUUUCAAAGCUCCCUCAUUGGAUCAUUGGGAUCGUGUGAAUUUUAAUUUAUGUUAUUUUUGUCAUUUGAAAUUUGAGGCAUGUAUCCAUCUAUUUAUCACAGACCCAAAAAAUUGAAAUAAUAAAAAUUAUCAAAAACCAUUUCACCAAAAUCCCCUGAAAUAUUUGUAGGACUAUUUUGGUCAUUUUCACUAUUCGAAUUAUUUUUAUAGUAUUCUUAGGGUGCAUCUUUCUGACAGCACACAUCCUCUAAAUUUCAGGUAAUUUGAUCAGUAAAAAGGAAAUAAAAUGUUUUGAAAUUUGUAACUUUGGAGCAUGCACAAUUAUAUUAAGCACCCUCCAUUUGUUUUAUAGAUAGAAAAGACAUAUGUAUUUUAAUUAAUAUAACGGCAAAAGGUUCUUGAAAAAAUUUAUUAGAGAUUUCUAAAAUCACCAUUCAGAAUUAGGAUGUAUGUGUGCGUGUACAGAUACAUACAAGAAUCUUCAUUGACCAUUUGAGACUAAAGCAAAGCAGUCAAACUCACUAGCCAACUUUAUCUCGGAGCCAAAUGAAAGACCGGGCUGGAACAAAUGAGCAAAAAUAUACACUACUCCUGACUCCAUACACCCACACAGUGAGACCUUCAUCCUCAUCCUUCUCCAAAACCGUUUUUAUAUAACCAGGGCAACAUAUAUAACGAGCUGCAAUAACCAGCAAAAAGGGUUUCCUCAAAGCCACUGGCUUGCUUCGAAUGUCAAGAGAACGUGAAAAUGAAGCUUUACAAAAAACAAUUGCUACUGCCUGCUUAGUACCUUUAGUUUCAAAUGAGAACCUUGGCAAAUGGAGCAAAACAUGUGCACAGAAGCAAGCUCUCCAUGUUACAGCAUGGUAUCCUUCCAUAGCCUCGCUGAUAAAUGCAUCGAUGCCUUCGAUUAUUGAACGCUUAGAAAUAGGACGUGCAAAUGGGGCUGGCAACUCCCUUUACUCCACACCCUCUAUGCAAAUGAACAACUUCUUUUAUGGCAUCAAAGAUGGUCAUGCCCUCCAUGCAUCAUGAUGGGGGUGAAAUACUAAACUGGGCAUGUUCCUGAUGCAUAAAAUUCAAGAUCAGUAAUUUUCCCGAAGAUACAUGAAAAAAGAGAGUCAAAAUUACAUAAUAUAAUCAUAUAAACUGUUCACUCGUUAAACCAUGGGAGUAACAAGUAUUCAAAAUUUGAAAAUUACUAUGCAUAUAUAGGAGAAAAAGCAGAAUGUAUAAUGAAUGAGGUGCUUGAAACAAAUCUAUAAAAGGACAGUAAAAAUAAGAGGACAUGGUGAGAAAUCGUUACAAGAUUACUUAUAAUGGCACAUACCACCAAAGACUACAGCACACAGAGAAUAUCCCAAUUUCACAAAUCGAGCUUUAAACAGUUAUUUGGAUAUUCCUCCAGCCGAAGGGGAUAAAAAAUAUCCAAUAACAAUAUAAAAUAGUACCUGUACAGCAAGCAACCAAGCUUCCUGCAGCAGAGCUGAAAACAUGCACGCAAUGGUUGAACAGCAAGACCUCCACUCUUGGCAUAACAUAUUGGUCUUUUCAUCCGGCAUCGAAUUGUCCCAAAUAUGAGCCAAUACUACUAGCGUAAACCCCAUCUCUACCACCUGCAAAAAAUUACAUUGAUUUAACAAUAGAGGUAAUUGAGAAACCAUCUUGUUUUUUUUGAGAAAAGGUUAACUGCCUGAGAAACCAUCUUGUUUAACAAAACAAACAACAAAUAUCUAUAAUGCAACCAGCAAAGACAAACAAACAGUAUACAAAGUUGCAUUUUCCAUAUUCAAUGGCUAUUUAUACUUUUGUGGUCCCUAAUCCCAAUGUUUCAUACUACCAAAUGUUCCAUUGGCAGGUUGCCAUCCGAUUAUGGGCAUGAAUCGAAUCCCAGGUCAACAAAAUUAUUUGUGUCUUGUGAUGCAAUUCAUAUCAUCUAUGAAUCUCUCUCUCUCUCUCUCUCUCUCUCUCUCUCUAUCUAUCUAUCUAUCUAUCUAUCUAUCUCUCUCACAAACACACACACAAGAAGAGGGAGAACUAUGAACAACUAACCAAAUUUGACCAAAUUCUAGGUGAAAUGAAACCAAAUAGAUGGAUCUUGUAGUAAAAAGUUUUGAAUCUUCUCAUGAAUCCUCUAGGCAUAAAACCCAAACGAAAUAAAUUCACAUGCAUCAUAAUUCUCCACUAUAGUCUGACAAAGCUAUUAUUCAUGUAACAAAUCUAUCAGUCACAAGCUUUUUUAGAAUGCUCCAGCCAAGAUAGGGUCUACCCCAUGAUUUGGAGAGGUAAAGAAUAAGGUAACAGGAGAGAUCAUCUAAUGUCCUUAGAUCUUUUUGAGAUAUCUCUUACUCAUAUCUUUUGCAGUCAGUUAUUAGUAGAGAUUUCUAAAGAAAACUGAUAAAAAAGAAACAAAUCUUACGGAGCCUGUUUCAAGUAUAUGUGAAAUGACAUCAAAGGACAUUAUAUAUUAGUAUAGCUAGUUUUAGUUGUUCUAGAAUCAAGAAGUAGAAGUACUCAAGUAAACCUUCAAUACCGUGAUACCAAGCAUGAAUUUAUCAUGAUGGAGCACCCCUAGUCUGAUUAGGAAUUGUUUCUUGGAUUCCAUUACCAUUUUAAGCAUGGUGAGUCUGUGGGUGCGGAUGUGAUCAAAUAAUAUAAAUGUUUGUUUGUCCAUGUGCAUGUGUAUGAAAGAGGGAAUAAAAGAAUUAGGAUUUUUUAUUGACAUGGCAGGCCAGUCUCACACGCUUUGAUGUGUCCAUAGACCACAAUGCACUUCCAAUGGAGGAAAUCUGUGAUCCUAGCUAGGGUCACUGUGACAGAGAACUUGCCAAUGUGAGAGGCAACUAAGGCAUGUUGAGAUGAGUACUAGAGGACCCAGACACCGCCAGAAGGUCUUAUUGCAUCCAGAGCUAACCACUGGCAGAGGAAAACCCCAAAUAUUCUGAAUUUGGGAGAGAGAGGGAGAAGAAAGCUUGGUUUCCACCAAACCAAGAAGAGACGGAGAAUACUGUGAAACAAAUAGACGAAUAUUUGCCGUUUUCCUGGGUGGCCCAAACCCCUUAUAUUCCAAAUAAGGAUCUUUAUAGCACAGCUACGGAGCGGAUGGCACUUUUGGUCGGGCGACGAGAAUGCUGAGGAGCUGAGGGAAUGGGGAGGACCUUAGCUGAAGGUUCUUUUUUCUCGUACCUUACUUUGACAUAGUUUGGAUAGCUCCCAGGAUGCUCUCUAAUUGGUGGCAAGAGCCUUACCUUUGACAUUCUUCAACUUACACUGGCGUUUAGAUUCGGUAUCAGCAUUGAUGAAGGCUUCAAAGGCUUCAUGAGGGUUGUUGAACAGGAAGCCCAUCACUAAAAGGAUCUCGUGAGGAUUGCCUUGGGCUUUGCAUCCACAGAGCUAGAGUCCACAGAGACCGGUGAACAAGAUUCCGAGGAAUAGGAGGAAUAGGGGUUAUCAAAGGGGAGGGAAAGAUGCGUGGGUGGGGGAGAAGGAUGCUCUUCACUGAGAUUGUACGGUAGCAGAGGGGGGAGGGGACCUUCAAGAGGGGGAAUGUGGAUAAAAUGAUAGCCAGAGGGGAAAAGGAGGUUGAGGUGGAAUUAAGGGUGAAGAGGUAGGCCGAGGCGUGGAAUAUAUGGCUAAGGAUGGGCUUGAUUGAGGGCUUGAGCAUGAAGCCAUUUGGUGAACAGGCUGGGUAGGCCUCAACAUCAAUGCUUGAUUAAGCUAGUUAAGAGUUAUUAUGGAAUUAUUUAUUUUAUCAAGGGUAAAAAUGUUAUAAAAUUUUUUGUUUUAAUCAAGACUUCUUUUUUUUCAAUUAGAAUUAGGAUUACUUGGAAUUUAGGUAAGAUCUUUUAUUAUAAAUAGUGGUCGUAUUCAGGGUUUUGCUUUCAGACUUAGAUAUCAUUUUGUUCAAAAUCCUGGUUUCACCAGAGAGCUAGAAGCUUGGAUUGUAAGCUUCCUAUUAUUCAAUCAAUUCGAUCCUUGAUUUUUCUAUUUCUCUUUUUUCUUUCCACCAUACCAUCUGGUAUUAGAGCAGGCCCGUUCCCAAAGCGCAUGAGCAUUUGCAGCAAGUUUGCUUGAUGGCGGUUAAAGAGGUCAAGUUCAUGGAUGUGGUGGUGACAAAGUUAUAUGUGAGGGAAUAAAAUGAUCUGAUGAGAAUUGAGCAAGUGGUGUACGACAGAUGUAAAAAAGGUCAAAUCAAAGGAGAUUUGAGGAUCUGGUGGAUGAGGUGAAGCCAACCCGCUCUGAAUGAUGUUUGGUCGUUCAUGACAAAGGCGGAUCUGUAUCUAAUUGCAGUUAUAAUUCACCUCAUAACCUGAGGAGAGGUAAUCUCGUUUUGCGAGCAUAAUUAUUUUUUUGGUCUUAAUAGACAGACCAUAGAGAAACCCUUAUCUCAUCAAAUUAUCACUGUACUUCGCAACUUGCCGCUGAAUUGAGGCAAUUUCAAUGUGUAAAUUGCUGAAAUUAGGCAGUUCUAGCAUGUUUAAGUGGAUGAAUCGAGCAUAUCACAAUAACGCCGUCAAACAUACAACGACCAUGUCCUUGAGUUGUUCUCACAACAGUUUAUUUGCUCGUCGACCGAUUGCAAAGCCCCAAAUUUAACGCACAACGGUGCAAAACCAACACCCAUAAAGGAGAGAUCCGAGACCGAUUCAACAACAACCUGUCGAUCAUGCCGGUUGAUCAACAAGAUGGAAACAUCUUAGAUCACCAUCAAGAAAGGGAAAGGAACAAGGGCCCUUCCAGUCCUAACCGUGUCACUACUCGAAGUAGGCUGCACCACUACACAAAGUAGGGGCCUUCUCUAGUACGCCAAAGUAGGAGGGAAUGUUUUUCAAUUCUAUAAAUCAAAAUAACAUCAAUAACUGCGCCUGUACAGUACAUUUAAACCCACUUGUGGACCCUUGAUAUUGACCAAAAUACCUCUAACAAAAUAAUACAAUGACCAACCUACACUUAUAACCUAUUCCCCAUACAAUUAAAUCAGCAUUCUUGAAACCUAGUUCCCAUUUUGCAAGUCCCCAUUCAUUAAACCAAAUUCUCAUGCGAAAUAAUAAAUACCAUAGAUAACCCAAAAAAAGAUGAUAAUCAUGGGCCACCCUUUCAUUAAAUUGAGAUACAAUGUAACUUGUCCUUCUAAAAAUAGUAUCCCCCAUAUAAUUAAAGUUCAUAGCAGAACCCUCUAAAUCAAGCCAAUGUGAUAAAUAUCAAAUGCCGUGCAUUUAUGCCCAAGACGGGCGAAUUUUAUUGUAAGCACUGGUAGAAAUGAAAUUAAAAUGAUUGAAAAUCAUCUACUUAGUCACAAACAAAAGAAAGAAGAAUUUAUCCUCAACUAGGAAAAAUGAAAAGGCGAUGAAUCCAAGCCAGUUGAAAUGCAUGAAAAUCAUCUACUUAGUCACAAACAAAAGAAAGAACAACUGAUCAUCAACUAGGAAAAAUGAAAAAGCAAUAAAUCUAAGUCAAUUUUAAAAACAAGUACUAUGUACUAAGCCUAUUUAAUUUGUGCAUUUGUCUGUUGCAAGGCCUUUUGGAGUUUGACGAAUGUUACAAUUAGGGGAGUUUUGAUAAAAAAUAAGUAGAUAAUAUAUUUUUCUUAGAUACUAAUUAACUUGGAAAUGCGUGUACACCUCUAUCCUCAUACCAUCAAUUCAAGACAACUAAAUUCGAUAUGUAUAAAAUCCAACGGAUAACUUUGAUUCAAAUUAAAUCUCCCAAAAGAUGACCAAUGUAAACUAAAAUUUCUAACGUACCGCACCCGACUUUAGUUCCUAACCAGCAAACGUAUUGCACCCAUCACUUCUCCCUUUCUCUAAAUCUCUCCAUUUUACAUCCCAAGGGCUUGUCCUUUCAAUUUGUCUCUUUCCUCCCUCUCCCUCUCCCUCUCCCUCUCCCUNNNNNNNNNNNNNNNNNNNNGGUUGGAAUUUAGAAAAGUCCUCUAUACAUUUGCCAGAAGAAGAGGAAAUGGAGAGCAAGACUCACUAGAACAAGACAUAAUCCCAGUGGUAGUUAGGGUGUGGUCUUCCAUUUUGGAUUCACAAAAAGUUGAUAAUCCUACUCUUGUUGACCAGGACCCAGGUCCAAGUCGACCCUUAGACCUCGUCGAGUCAGGUCUAACUCAACCUAUUUACCCACAAAGAAUCGUUUCAAGGGCAAAGCAAACAAUCAGAUUGUAAUAUACACACACUCUCUCCCUUUCUCUCUCUCUCUCUCUCUUACAUCUCUUACAUUUACAUGCUACCUACCAAAUAACUACUAAUGCCAUACAUGCGUCAUAUGAACAUAGGUUUAUGUUAGGGGCAAGCUUUCUAUGCUUCCCCUACAACAUAUAACUUAUAUACUUCCCCUUAUCUAACCUUACAUACCUCACGUCUCUAUACUAUUUUAUUUUUAAGUUUUUUUCUAUAAACUAUUUUGACACCAAAUUUUGAACUUCCAAUCCUCUAUUAAACUCGCGCUAUCAAAAAAUAUUAAAAAAAUAUUUCUGAUAAAAUAAAGAAACCAAAAUACCUCUGAAAGUUUCAAAGGGUAUUUUGAUCAUUAUAUUUUAGCAAAAAAAUAUAUUUUGGUCCUACUACUGGGAUAUGAGAGAAUGUAUAAUGAAUAGGUGCUAUAAUUACAUACAUAGUAGGAUGAAAAGAACAAGAGGAAAGGGUGACAAAUGGUUACAAGAUUACUUAUAAUGGCAAAUACCACCAGAGACUACAAUACACAGAGAAUUCCCCAAUUUCACGAACUGAGCUUUAAUCAGUUAUUUAGAUAUUCCUCCAGCCUAAGGGGAUCAACAAAAUAGAAUAACAAUAUUAAAUAGUACCUGUACAGCAAGCAACCAAGCCUCCUGUAGCAAAGCUGAAAAUAUGCUUGAAAUGCUUGAACAGCCAGACCUCCACUGCUGGCAUAACUUACUGUUCUUUUCAUCCAGCAUGGCAUUGUGUCAAAGAUGAGCAAGUGCUAAUAGGGUAAAUCCCAGCUCUACCACCUACAAAAAAUUAAAUUGAUUUAAUAAUAGCGAUAACUGAGAAACCACCUUGUUUAAAAAAACAAACAACAAAUAUCUAUAAUGCAGCUAGCAAAAGGCAAACAAACAGUACAUAAAGUCUCAUUUUCCAUAUUCAAUGGCUAUUUAUACUUUUGUGGUCCCUAUUCAAAAUAAUGACUAAUCCCAAAGUUUCAUACUCAUAAAUGUUCUAUCAGCAGUUUGCCAUCAUAUUAUGGGCAGAAAUCAAAUCCCAAGUCAACAAAAAUAUCAACGUCUUGAGAUGCAAUUCUUAUCAUCUAUGAAUCUCUCUCUCUCUCUCUUA